AAGUAUGAAGUAAUUUUUACAUUUAGUUUCGACCUAAAAAAUAGAGAAUAUUUCUCCUUACUUA
RNAcentral lists this transfer RNA (64 nucleotides) under Macropes robustus. RNAcentral describes it as "tRNA-Arg". The record is from RNAcentral. Lineage: Eukaryota; Metazoa; Arthropoda; Insecta; Hemiptera; Blissidae. RNAcentral also lists the same sequence under 3 other names.